Molecule: ribosomal RNA, 253 nt
Filed under: uncultured bacterium
Lineage: Bacteria
Description: partial 16S ribosomal RNA
Rfam family: Bacterial small subunit ribosomal RNA
Source: RNAcentral
UACAGAGGUCCCGAGCGUUGUUCGGAUUCAUUGGGCGUAAAGGGUGCGUAGGCGGCGCCGUAAGUCAGGUGUGAAAUUUCGGAGCUUAACUCCGAAACUGCAUUUGAUACUGCGGUGCUUGAGGACUGGAGAGGAGACUGGAAUUCACGGUGUAGCAGUGAAAUGCGUAGAUAUCGUGAGGAAGACCAGUGGCGAAGGCGGGUCUCUGGACAGUUCCUGACACUGAGGCACGAAGGCCAGGGGAGCAAACGGG